GAUAGUACCUUACUACUUGGAUACCCGUAGUAAUUCUAGAGCUAAUACAUGCAUCAACGCCCAAUCGGGCCGCGUUUAUUAGAUAGAAACCCAUAUUUUUGGUGAAUCAUAAUAACUGUGCGAAUCGCAUGGGUUUACCCCGGCGAUGAAUCAAUCAAGUUUCUGCCCUAUCAGCUUUCGAUGGUAGGGUAUUGGCCUACCAUGGCGUUAACGGGUAACGGAGAAUUAGGGUUCGAUUCCGGAGAGGGAGCCUGAGAAACGGCUACCACAUCCAAGGAAGGCAGCAGGCGCGUAAAUUACCCAAUCCUGACACAGGGAGGUAGUGACAAUAAAUAACAAUGCCGGGCUUUUUCAAGUCUGGCAAUUGGAAUGAGAACAAUUUAAAUCCCUUAACGAGGAUCAAUUGGAGGGCAAGUCUGGUGCCAGCAGCCGCGGUAAUUCCAGCUCCAAUAGCGUAUAUUAAUGUUGUUGCAGUUAAAAAGCUCGUAGUUGGAUUUCUGGUGGGAGCGGCCGGUCCGCCGCAAGGUGUGUACUUGGUUGUCUCCUGUCAUCCUUGUGGGAACUGCUCUGGCAUUAAGUUGUCGGGGUUGGGGAACACAUCGUUUACUGUGAAAAAAUUAGAGUGUUUAAAGCAGGCUUAUGCCGUUGAAUACAUUAGCAUGGAAUAAUAAGAUAGGACUUUGGCGUCUAUUUUGUUGGUUUGCACACCAAAGUAAUGAUUAAUAGGGAUAGUUGGGGGUAUUCGUAUUUAAUUGUCAGAGGUGAAAUUCUUGGAUUUAUGAAAGACGAACUUCUGCGAAAGCAUUUACCAAAGAUGUUUUCAUUAAUCAAGAACGAAAGUUAGGGGAUCGAAGAUGAUUAGAUACCAUCGUAGUCUUAACCAUAAACUAUGCCGACUAGGGAUUGGCGGUCGUUCAUUUAUGACUCCGUCAGCACCUUAUGAGAAUCAAAGUCUUUGGGUU
Molecule: ribosomal RNA, 962 nt
Filed under: uncultured eukaryote
Lineage: Eukaryota
Description: SSU rRNA
Rfam family: Eukaryotic small subunit ribosomal RNA
Source: RNAcentral